Molecule: ribosomal RNA, 440 nt
Filed under: uncultured bacterium
Lineage: Bacteria
Description: partial 16S ribosomal RNA
Rfam family: Bacterial small subunit ribosomal RNA
Source: RNAcentral
CCUACGGGAGACAGCAGUGGGGAAUAUUGCACAAUGGGGGAAACCCUGAUGCAGCGACGCCGCGUGAAGGAAGAAGUAUUUCGGUAUGUAACCUUCUAUCAGCAGGGAAGAAAAUGCCGGUACCUGACUAAGAAUCCCCGGCUAACUACGUGCCAGCAGCCGCGGUACUACGUAGGGGGCAAGCGUUAUCCGGAUUUACUGGGUUUAAAGGGAGCGUAGGCGGUUUAGCAAGUCAGAAGUGAAAGCCCGGGGCUCAACUGCGGGACUGCUUUUGAAACUGUUUAACUAGAUUGCAGGAGAGGUAAGUGGAAUUCCUAGUGUAGCGGUGAAAUGCGUAGAUAUUAGGAGGAACACCAGUGGCGAAGGCGGCUUACUGGACUGUAAAUGACGCUGAGGCUCGAAAGCGUGGGGAGCAAACAGGAUUAGAUACCCGAGUAGUC